This 497-nucleotide ribosomal RNA is filed under the name uncultured bacterium. RNAcentral describes it as "partial 16S ribosomal RNA". It matches the Rfam family "Bacterial small subunit ribosomal RNA", at positions 28 to 507 of the family's 1533-position model. The record is from RNAcentral.
GAUGAACGCUGGCGGCGUGCCUAAUACAUGCAAGUCGAGCGAACAGAUAAGGAGCUUGCUCCUUUGACGUUAGCGGCGGACGGGUGAGUAACACGUGGGUAACCUACCUAUAAGACUGGAAUAACUCCGGGAAACCGGGGCUAAUGCCGGAUAACAUUUAGAACCGCAUGGUUCUAAAGUGAAAGAUGGUUUUACUAUCACUUAUAGAUGGACCCGCGCCGUAUUAGCUAGUUGGUAAGGUAACGGCUUACCAAGGCAACGAUACGUAGCCGACCUGAGAGGGUGAUCGGCCACACUGGAACUGAGACACGGUCCAGACUCCUACGGGAGGCAGCAGUAGGGAAUCUUCCGCAGUGGGCGAAAGCCUGACGGAGCAACGCCGCGUGAGUGAUGAAGGUCUUCGGAUCGUAAAACUCUGUUAUUAGGGAAGAACAAAUGUGUAAGUAACUGUGCACGUCUUGACGGUACCUAAUCAGAAAGCCACGGCUAACUACGUG